This 253-nucleotide ribosomal RNA is filed under the name uncultured bacterium. Its description in RNAcentral is "partial 16S ribosomal RNA". It matches the Rfam family "Bacterial small subunit ribosomal RNA", at positions 524 to 776 of the family's 1533-position model. The record is from RNAcentral.
UACGUAGGGUGCGAGCGUUAAUCGGAAUUACUGGGCGUAAAGCGUGCGCAGGCGGUUCUCCAAGUCUGUUGUGAAAGCCCCGGGCUCAACCUGGGAAUGGCAGUGGAAACUAGGGGACUGGAAUCUGGCAGAGGGGGGUGGAAUGCCGCGUGUAGCAGUGAAAUGCGUAGAGAUGCGGCGGAACACCGAUGGCGAAGGCAGCCCCCUGGGCUGAGAUUGACGCUCAGGCACGAAAGCGUGGGGAGCAAACAGG